GCGCGGGUGGCGGAAUUGGCAGACGUGCUGGAUUCAGGAUCCAGUCGAGGAUUCCGCGGGGGGCGAGCUGCUUCCCGCGCACCA
RNAcentral lists this transfer RNA (84 nucleotides) under Thiocapsa sp. RNAcentral's name for it is "tRNA-Leu". The record is from RNAcentral. Lineage: Bacteria; Pseudomonadati; Pseudomonadota; Gammaproteobacteria; Chromatiales; Chromatiaceae.